UUUGACAUAUAGGGAAAUCCUCCAGAGAUGGGGGGUCCGUAAGGGUCCUAUACAGGUGGUGCAUGGCUGUCGUCAGCUCGUGUCGUGAGAUGUUGGAUUAAGUCCCGCAACGAGCGCAACCCUCGUCCUAUGUUGCCAGCACGCCCUUCGGGGUGGUGGGGACUCAUAGGAGACUGCCGGGGUCAACUCGGAGGAAGGUGGGGAUGACGUCAAGUCAUCAUGCCCCUUAUGUCCAGGGCUUCACGCAUGCUACAAUGGCCGGUACAAAGGGCUGCGAAACUGUAAGGUGGAGCGAAUCCCAAAAAGCCGGUCUCAGUUCGGAUUGGGGUCUGCAACUCGACCCCAUGAAGUCGGAGUCGCUAGUAAUCGCAGAUCAGCAACGCUGCGGUGAAUACGUUCCCGGGCCUUGUACACACCGCCCGUCACGUCAUGAAAGUCGGCAACACCCGAAGCCGGUGGCCU
RNAcentral lists this ribosomal RNA (462 nucleotides) under Kribbella aluminosa. Its description in RNAcentral is "bacterial SSU rRNA". It matches the Rfam family "Bacterial small subunit ribosomal RNA", at positions 980 to 1436 of the family's 1533-position model. The record is from RNAcentral. Lineage: Bacteria; Bacillati; Actinomycetota; Actinomycetes; Propionibacteriales; Kribbellaceae.